Long non-coding RNA from Sapajus apella (tufted capuchin), 3819 nucleotides. RefSeq lists it as uncharacterized. The transcript has 2 exons. Lineage: Eukaryota; Metazoa; Chordata; Mammalia; Primates; Cebidae. The record is from RefSeq and is a predicted model, not a curated record.
AGAAGGCAAGACAAGAGAAAAAAGAGUGAAAAGAAAUGAACAAAGCCUCAUCAAUGUCAGCUUUAUUCAUCCCAUUUCAUCAUUUAAAUAUCUCCACUCUCCUGGGACAUUUCCCUUGACUCUUUCAUUUGUCUUUUCUCAGUUUCUUGUGAAUCACCCUAAUUUUCUCAGCAUUUGUAAAGCCCAUAAAGGUAAACUAAGGUUACAAAUUUGAUGAAGUUUCUCUUACUGUUGUUUGAUUUUAUAGCAGUAAGAUUAUAUGGGGUCCCAUGCAAAAGUGUUCCCCUUCAAUCUUGGUAUUUACUAUGACCUGGGUAAGGGCUAUAUUUAGUGGAUAAAUAACCUGAUCAUUAUAAUGCUAAUCCAACAUGGCUUGCAUAUGACGUAUAUCACUCCUUUAUUUGGAAAAUUCCAUUUGGCAUUGUUUUGGAUGAAAACAAUCCCCCUUCUCAAUGUAAACACAUUUUGCAGUAGCUUUUAUUCAGUCUACCAGGGUACCUAUACCUGCUAUGUGUCUGGAUGAUACACAGCUAUCUACAGUGUUCAAAAGAGAGCUAUGGAUUUUACAGCAACUCAAACAUGUUCUUCUAAUCUGCAGUUUUCAAAGCCAAGGAUGCUGCUGCUAUGUUAGUCAGUUUCACAAUCAUUUCAGUAAAGGCUUUACAAAAAAUUGAUAGUAAUGAUUCACAAAAUGAAACUCUUUCACAUUAUCCCUUGGUUUCAGUAGUUUCUUAGUUUUACCCUCUCUCUACCUGGACAAACUUCCUAGUGACCAGAGGUUGUAGACAUGACGUCUGUUGUCCCAACAUAAUUUGUCUCUUAUUUCUUAUUAUUUUGCAUUUUCUUGCAUAUGAAAUAAGCCAACUCCUUGGGAGCUCAGUCUACUACUUCUAAAUUUCAUUGAUUACUUUUGCCACUAGUAACCGAUCACAGUACAGCUAUAGUUCCAUAACCUGGAUGACCAGAUAGCCACCCAGAAUUAAAGGUUUAUCAAUCCCUGCCUUCUUAUCCUUUCUCUAUCCAAAUCACGUACUUCAGUGAGUCAGGGUUGAUCUAGUGAAUCCUGGUCCAGAGGCCAACUGCAAAAGUUAUGCAACUGUGAAGUUGGGAGAAUAGAUCAUAAGGCCCCCUCACUUCUGAUACCAGUUGCAAGUUUGAAGAUCAGCAGAGCACCCUCAGUUUCAGUCAUUCACUAGAAAGACUAACGUAACUCACUUAAAUCUAUUAUACUCACAGGCAAAUAAAAAUCAGCCAUGGGAAGAGACACAUAGGACAGAAUCCAGGAAAGUUACAAAAUGUGAAGCUUCUCAUGCAGAAGCUUCUUAUCCCCAUGGAGUAAGGAUAGCAUUGCUUUCCUGGUAUAGGUGCAUAAUAAUACACACAGAAUACCAGCAACCAGAGAUGUCCAUCCAAUUCUUGGUGUCUAAAGUCUUUAUUGGGACUCAUCACGUCGGCAUGCUUGGCCUCCCAUUGGCUGAUGUCAGUUUCCAGCCCCCCAGGAGGUCAACUAACACACUGUGAGGUAAAGCUCUCACCCUAAAUCACAUUGUUGGUAGGGCUCAAAGCCCCCACCAUAAAUCACGAUGUUACUGUCUGGCUCACCCAAGGCCCCAAGGCAAACAAAGCCACUCCUACCAGGCAGGACAUUCCAAGGGCUUGCAGGCCACCUCCUAGAAUCAAAGGAAAAAAAGACAAGGUUAAAUUCUUUACUACAUAGCAGUUCUCAAGUAUUAUUAAAAAACAGCCAGAAAAACUGCAGAACACAAUUUAACAGUAUUUUCCUCUUUUUUUCACACAAGCUUAUGGCCAAGUGAAGGGUCCAAACUAUGGCCUGGGUACAACAUGUGGCUCAUUCUGGGAACCUGACUUUGAUAAGAAGACGAAGAGCUUUGUGAAUUGAAGUAAAUCACAUGAGAAUCACUGACCUGGCCUAGAAAAGUUUGGAUUUCUGUGAAAGAGUAUUCCACCACUCCUAAAACAAUCUGCAUUCGGCUGCAGUUUCCCACUUUUCACAUAGGAGAGCAAGCUUUCUCUUGUUUGAACAACCAUCAAGAACUGGAAUAUUAUCUCAUUUCAGGGAUUCCUGGAGACCUGAAAAUUAACUCAAGCAUUCCUUCAAAGUAGAAGAUUGAGAAUGGAUUAGCACGUACUGCCACUGUGUCAGUAUGACUUGGGUUUCUGUGCUUUCACAUCUGCUCACGUUCUGAUCCCCAAGGACUGUGAUAAGCAAAGGUCUACUGACCACUGAUCCCAGGCUACUCAAAAGGGAGGAUCCAUUAUGACAUCAUUUUGCACAAGUAGAGCACUAGUGCAUAGCUGGGUAUCAGCUUCACUGCAGGACUGAAACAUGACUGCUAGCUCCCUGUAUUCUUAUGAGCGCCUUCCAUCAAAAAGCUCAGAAUUGCUCUUAAAUGAGGUAAAUAUACUAUGUGCUGAUUCAAAAAUAUCUGAGACAUAUUAACAGGAAGAACAACUUAUCAAAUGGAAUAUAGUGUGUAAAUGCAUUUAUGUAAACACAUUAAGCUAUAUAGGUACUGUCAUUCAUCACUUAGCCACCAGGAAAAUUUUGAGAAACCUGUUGUUAGGGAAUUUCUUUGUACAAACAUCAGAGUGUAUUUAUACUAACCUAGAUACAUAGGCUACUACACUCCUAGACUAUAUGGUAUAGUCUAUUUGUCCUAGGCUACAAACUAUACAGCAUGUUACUUUACUGAUUACUAUAGGCAACUGUAACACAAAUCACUAGACAAUGGGAAUUUUUCAGCUUCAUUGUAUAUGUGGCCCAUCAUUGACAGAAAUGUUGCUGUAUGUGGGCUGACUGUAAUUGAGUUUCUAGUGAUUAUGUAUUCCAAGACAUAGAGGUGAAGUUAAAGAUUUUAAUACUGUAAUAUUAAUUAUAAUAAGAAACAUUUAUUUUGGUCUUCUUCCCUGGUCACAGGUUGAACAGAAGUCAUGAAACCUUUGCAAUUUCCCAAUUGAUAAAAGUGCUAGGAGCGUAUUUUGUUCUAAUGAGGUGACUCUUGCUGGGUUCCUUAAUGAGGGCUGGCCACUAAGAAGAUCAAGGCAUGAUUAGAAGCUUGGAACCUUUAAUCUCAUCCCCCAUCAUCAGGUAGGGCAGAGGAACUAGAGAUUGAUCAUUCUUAUGUGAUAAAGCCACCAAAAAAAUCUCCAAAAGGCAGGAUUCAGAGAGGAUCCAGGUUGGUGAAAACAUCCUAUGAGCAAGGAGGGGGUGCACUCCAACUCCGUGGGGACAGAAAUUCUGUAUUCAGGACACUUCCAGACCUCCCUUUAUAUAUCUCUUCAUCUGGCUGUUUAUCUCUGUCAUUUAUAAUAUCCUUAAUAAUAAACUGGUAGACGUCUUUCCCUGAGUUCUGUGAGCCAUCAUAGCCAAUUAUCAAAAACUUGAUAAGAAGGGAGUCAUGGGAACCCUCCAUUUGUAGCCAAGGCUGAUGGAUAUGUGGGUAACCUGGGGAUUUGCUGCUUGCAAUUGGCAUCUGGAGUGGGGACAGUUUUGUGGGACUGAGCCCUUAACCUGUGACAUCUGCACAAAUAUGACAAUUGGCGUCACGAUUGAAUUAUAGGAUGCCAAGCUGGUGUCCAGAGAGUAGGAAAAUUGGUUGGUAUCAGGAAAACCCCCACACAUUUGGUCACAGAAGUGCUGAAAGUGUUGAAUGUUAUAGAGAAAACCUUUGCUUUCCUCUUUAAGGUAAACUGGUGAGAGAACAGAAGGAAAAAAAUUGCUUCUUUAAAAGUGAUAGAAAGGAAAGGAAUUUAAAAAACCCUGCAAAAUAUAGCAAAUGGGAUGACAGCUGCUGUAUA